RNAcentral lists this ribosomal RNA (462 nucleotides) under uncultured Saprospiraceae bacterium. Its description in RNAcentral is "bacterial SSU rRNA". It matches the Rfam family "Bacterial small subunit ribosomal RNA", at positions 338 to 795 of the family's 1533-position model. Lineage: Bacteria; Pseudomonadati; Bacteroidota; Saprospiria; Saprospirales; Saprospiraceae. The record is from RNAcentral.
CCUACGGGGGGCUGCAGUAAGGAAUAUUGGACAAUGGGCGGAAGCCUGAUCCAGCCAUGCCGCGUGAAGGAAGAAGGCGCUCAGCGUUGUAAACUUCUUUUAAAUGGGAACAAUAACUCCGACGUGCUCGGGGCUUGAGGGUACCAUUAGAAUAAGCACCGGCUAACUCCGUGCCAGCAGCCGCGGUAAUACGGAGGGUGCAAGCGUUAUCCGGAAUCACUGGGUUUAAAGGGUGCGUAGGCUGUUUGAUAAGUCAGUUGUGAAAUACCCCGGCUUAACCGGCGGUCGUGCGAUUGAUACUGUCAGACUUGAAUCAGGUUGAGGUAGGCGGAAUGUGGCAUGUAGCGGUGAAAUGCAUAGAUAUGCCAUAGAACACCGAUUGCGAAGGCAGCUUGCUGGACCUAGAUUGACGCUGAGGCACGAAAGCGUGGGGAGCAAACAGGAUUAGAUACCCUUGUAGUC